GACGAACGCUGGCGGCGUGCCUAAUACAUGCAAGUCGAGCGGACGAAUCGAAAGCUUGCUUUUGAUUCGUUAGCGGCGGACGGGUGAGUAACACGUGGGCAACCUGCCCUGUAGACGGGGAUAACACCGAGAAAUCGGUGCUAAUACCGGAUAACACGAAAUGUCGCAUGACGUUUCGUUGAAAGACGGCGCAAGCUGUCGCUACAGGAUGGGCCCGCGGCGCAUUAGCUAGUUGGUGAGGUAACGGCUCACCAAGGCGACGAUGCGUAGCCGACCUGAGAGGGGGAUCGGCCACAGGGGGAAGAAGAAAGGGCACAGAACCCAAGGGGGGGCAGGAGUGGGGAAUUUUCCGAAAGGGAAGAAAGUGGGAGGGGGCAACGCCGGGGGGGGGAAGAAGGCCUUGGGGUCGUAAAGCUCUGUUGUUAGGAAAAAAAAAGAAACGCAGUAACGGGCGUUACCGUGAGGGUACAUAACGAGAAAGCCACGGCUAAAUACGU
This 497-nucleotide ribosomal RNA is filed under the name uncultured bacterium. RNAcentral describes it as "partial 16S ribosomal RNA". It matches the Rfam family "Bacterial small subunit ribosomal RNA", at positions 28 to 506 of the family's 1533-position model. The record is from RNAcentral.